Molecule: ribosomal RNA, 497 nt
Filed under: uncultured bacterium
Lineage: Bacteria
Description: partial 16S ribosomal RNA
Rfam family: Bacterial small subunit ribosomal RNA
Source: RNAcentral
GAUGAACGCUGGCGGCGUGCCUAAUACAUGCAAGUCGAGCGAACAGACGAGGAGCUUGCUCCUCUGACGUUAUCGGCGGACGGGUGAGUAACACGUGGAUAACCUACCUAUAAGACUGGGAUAACUUCGGGAAACCGGAGCUAAUACCGGAUAAUAUAUUGAACCGCAUGGUUCAAUAGUGAAAGACGGUUUUGCUGUCACUUAUAGAUGGAUCCGCGCCGCAUUAGCUAGUUGGUAAGGUAACGGCUUACCAAGGCGACGAUGCGUAGCCGACCUGAGAGGGUGAUCGGCCACACUGGAACUGAGACACGGUACAGACUCCUACGGGAGGCAGCAGUAGGGAAUCUUCCGCAAUGGGGGAAAGCCUGACGGAGCAACGCCGCGUGAGUGAUGAAGGUCUUCGGAUCGUAAAACUCUGUUAUUAGGGAAGAACAAAUGUGUAAGUAACUAUGCACGUCUUGACGGUACCUAAUCAGAAAGCCACGGCUAACUACGUG